CAAGAAGUUCCUGUGGGAGGAGUUGGAGCUGGUGCGGGAGGAGGUGACCUUCAUCUACCAGAAGCUGUAGGCCAAGGAGGACGGGAUCGCAGAGAACCUCUCAAACAUCCAGAAGAUGCAGCGAACGCAGGUCCUGACAAAGAUGCAGCAGCAGCAGCAGCAGCAGCAGCAGGGAUAUGAGCCAUCUGCCUGUCCCGAGGCCGAGGAGGCAGUGCCAGGAAGCGACGGCUGGAAGGACGACCUCCAGAAAGAACUGAGUGACAUAUGGUCCGCCAUCCGCGGGCUGCAGAAUUCCAUUGAUGGUCUUACCAUGUCCUCAGAGGCGCCCCGCGCGGCCUCCAGCCUCAGGGGCCACAGGGGACACCGGUGCCUGAGCCCUGGGCUCCCUUCCUGGGACACAGAGCCCCAUUGGGACCCGCCGCCUUUCAGCAAGAACGGUGCCUUCCCUUCCGGUGGGGUUCCUCCCCGGCCCCCACGACCCUUCCCCUCCUGGCCUGCCCUGCCUGAGCGUUCUGAUGUCCCCCGGGUCCGGCCAGGCCCUGAUCACCUUCUCUCUCCACAGCUUGAGCAGCCGGGGGCUGCUCGUCCUGAAGAGCCCUCCAGAGAGAAAAUAAACUCCUCACCCCGGACUCCUCUGCUCCCGCUGCUUCCGUACUGGGAACCCCCCUCACCCCUAAGUUACUCCUGGGGCCAGGGCAGGUGCAGAGACCCCAGAGAGUCGUCGGGUCGGGGGACAGCGUGAGGCCAGAUUUAGUGAGGACAAGGUCGAGGGCCAGUCUGUCCAGGCAGGAGGGCUUUCUCUUUGGUGGCGGGAGGGUGCCCUGGGGGAUCUGAUCAUCAGCAACCGAUACAUAGCCAAGUAGGAAAACGGGCCCAGGGAAAGGAGAGCCGGAGGCUCCGCGUGGAGCUGGGAACCUCCGCCCUUCCCUAGGACCCUCCAUUCUCGUUCCCGGAGAAUCUGUGCUAACUCGCCCCGCCUCCAACACAAGAGGCCCCGCCCCGAUAUGCUAAUAUGAGCGGCGAGUCCCCGCCUUA
RNAcentral lists this long non-coding RNA (1035 nucleotides) under Fukomys damarensis (Damara mole-rat). RNAcentral describes it as "lncRNA (ENSFDAG00000029800.1)". The record is from RNAcentral. Lineage: Eukaryota; Metazoa; Chordata; Mammalia; Rodentia; Bathyergidae.